CUCUACUGAUGUUGAGGAGACGGAGGAACACGCAUCCGAGGAAGAGGACGACAUUGAGAUGAGUUCUAGUCUGACGAACAGCACAAGACGGAGCCUAAGAGGUAGAGGUAAAGGUAAAGGUAGAGGGAAAUGGAGCAAGCUAAAGGGACCUUGCACUGCAAGUAACCCUAUUGAUAAAUGUUGGCGUUGCCAGCCCGAUUGGGCCAGGCGUCGCAAGAAGCUCGUCAAAUGUGUUCGUGGCUUCGGGUACAGGACCACAGGAGGCAAACGCGGUCGAAUCUACGUGGUCACUAGCAACAGAGACGAUGAUACGGUGAACCCUAGACCCGGAACACUGCGUCACGCUGUGAUUCAGAACGAACCUCUCUGGAUCAUUUUCAAGCACGAUAUGAGCAUUAGGUUGAGCCAAGAGCUAAUGAUUAAUAGUCACAAGACGAUCGAUGCUCGUGGCACUAACGUGCACAUCGCAUAUGGUGCUGGGAUCACGAUGCAGUACGUGCGAAACAUCAUCAUCCAUGGGCUUCACGUCCAUCACAUCGUCCCAUACAAAUUUGAUUUGGAUUAGUUUAGUUAUUUGAUUUUAUUCGACUUUACUAAGGUACAAAUAAACUAUCUCUAGAAGUUUUAGUAAGGGGGUUAAAAUUAUGAAAAAAAAUACUUUGAAAGGGAAACUAUCUCUACACACCCCGGACUUGGACUUGCUACAAUAUUAUAUAAGAAAGACGUGAGAUGAAUUUACGAUCAUGUUUUGUUAUAGUAUUCUUUUAACAGUGAUUUUGGAUUUAUGAUGGGUUUGGUUUUUGUGCAUAUGUGUAUGAUUUUCAGCAACUCUACUGAUGUUGAGGAGACGGAGGAACACGCAUCCGAGGAAGAGGACGACAUUGAGAUGAGUUCUAGUCUGACGAACAGCACAAGACGGAGCCUAAGAGGUAGAGGUAAAGGUAAAGGUAGAGGGAAAUGGAGCAAGCUAAAGGGACCUUGCACUGCAAGUAACCCUAUUGAUAAAUGUUGGCGUUGCCAGCCCGAUUGGGCCAGGCGUCGCAAGAAGCUCGUCAAAUGUGUUCGUGGCUUCGGGUACAGGACCACAGGAGGCAAACGCGGUCGAAUCUACGUGGUCACUAGCAACA
This 1127-nucleotide long non-coding RNA is filed under the name Brassica napus (rape). RNAcentral describes it as "long non-coding RNA (BNAP_LNC013387)". The record is from RNAcentral. Lineage: Eukaryota; Viridiplantae; Streptophyta; Magnoliopsida; Brassicales; Brassicaceae.